CCCGCUGCUUCCCGAGGCUCUGCUGGUUUCUGUUCCUGAUCUCGUCCUCUCUGUUCUUCAUUGUCAGCCAUUUGUCAACUGGCUCAUCCUGUGCUGCGUCUUCCUUCUGGCGUCCCCAGUCGCCUCUUAAUUUUCCCAGAUGCUGCAUUUUUCAGUUCUAGAAUUUCCAUCUGGUUCUUCUUUAACAGUUCCUGCUUCUCUCUGGAGCUUUCCCACUCCCACAGGAGCGUGUCUUCCUGUGUCCUCGAGCACACUUCCUGCGCCCGGCUGAGGCUUCCAACACCGGGGCCCAAUCUUGGGGUCGGUCUCCACUGCGGCCUCGUGACCGAGGGUCACAGUUUCAUCCCCCGAGAAUACUGAGCUGUAGAUGCUGUGAAUGACCAGGUGUAGAGAGACUCUACACUCUGCUACAUUCUUCUUUCUGGGUAUCGAUACCUUUAUUUCAACAGACAGCUAACUGGCCGGACUCAGACGCAAAACCCUCCUGAAGCAGGAGCCGGCAGAAAUCUCUGUUCCGUUCUUUCAGCCUCGGCCGAGCUGCUUGAAGUCCAGCCCACGGCUGCACGUUUCAAGCAUCAGCACACACGUGAGAAGAGAGGACACAGGGUUUGGGGUUCCCCUGGCUCCAACUCUGGCCUGAACGCUGUCCCUGGGUCUUGCAGGAAAAGUGCAGCUCCUUGAGGCCAACAGCACUGCCUUUACCAGAACUCAGCCCCACGUCUCCCGGCCUGCUUCAACGCGCGGCGAGCUCGGCCAAGACGGGGACCAGGAGUGCUCUGUGCCCUGCUGGCUAACGGCAGGAAGGCGGGGGACCCACGGCUCACGUGGCAAGAGUUGAACAACAAUGGUGGGACCAGGAAGGCUCCCCGUUCACAGGAAAUGCUCGGUGUGUCAGCAUCGGCGGAGGGCCGUGUGAGGUCACGGGCAACGGCGACCACGCUGGUCACGCGCGGCGGCUCCCAUUCAACGCGACGUCUUUUUUGAUAAGCUGGUACUUGUGGGGGGAGGGCAGUCAGGGGAAUGGGAAAGUUGCCUAUAAAUGUUUAACAAAAGAUCUGAACCGGGAAUGGGAAGGUGCGUUCUUUCUUUCAAUAGACAAAGCCUCCCACAUCAAGAUAUGUUUGUGUUCUCAGACAAGAAUUUCACGAUAACGUUUAGCUCGUGAGAACGCGCGCUCUGUGGGAAAUGCCCACCAACCCCGAGUGACCUCGGAUGAAUGGAAGUCGGCAAGCCCUGUGGGGAACCCCGCUGAGGGCCCCGGGCACCCCCAGAGACAGGCAGCGGGUCUGCAGCCCAGGGCGGAGGCCACCAGCUCUGGAGCGCAGGCCCGAGGGAGGAAAGGGUCCCCUGCACAGGGAGAGUCUACACUGGGCAGAGGGGAGCAGACACUCCUCCAGCUGCCCGGAAUGUUCUAGAAUCCCAGAGCCACGGGAAGGUAGGGAGAGGGACGAAAAAGAAAGGGGAGGAAGCUCAGUGCUUCUCCUAGGACCUCCACCCGGAACAGCAAUUGGCGGUUUUAGGUGGGGAGGAACAGGCUUUGAGUGCCGCCUGCUUGUGCAAGCACAGCCCUUCCCAGAGGUCCAGAAGCUCGACUCCAGCCGGGCCUGCCGUCAGAGGCUCCCCAGCACCUAGGCUAUGUUCCCCCCCAUGUUAUCCUUCCUCACCGGUUAAAGAGCAGGCUCAGACACCCAGAAGUGCAGUCCCCAACCUGGGUGGGCUGCGGGGGGGGGGGGGGGGGGGGCAAGGGUCC
Molecule: long non-coding RNA, 1750 nt
Organism: Prionailurus viverrinus (fishing cat)
Lineage: Eukaryota; Metazoa; Chordata; Mammalia; Carnivora; Felidae
Exons: 3
Source: RefSeq, a predicted model, not a curated record